ACGGAAGGCAGCAGUGGGGAAUAUUGGGCAAUGGGCGAAAGCCUGACCCAGCAAUGCCGCGUGAAGGAAGAAGGUCUUCGGAUUGUAAACUUCUUUUAUGAGGGACGAAGGAAUUGACGGUACCUCAUGAAUAAGCCACGGCUAACUACGUGCCAGCAGCCGCGGUAAUACGUAGGUGGCAAGCGUUAUCCGGAUUUACUGGGUGUAAAGGGCGCGUAGGCGGGGAAGCAAGUCAGAUGUGAAAUCCAUGGGCUCAACCCAUGAACUGCAUUUGAAACUGUCGUUCUUGAGUGUCGGAGAGGCAAGCGGAAUUCCUAGUGUAGCGGUGAAAUGCGUAGAUAUUAGGAGGAACACCAGUGGCGAAGGCGGCUUGCUGGACGAUAACUGACGCUGAGACACGAAAGCGUGGGGAGCAAACAGGAUUAGAUACCCUGGUA
Molecule: ribosomal RNA, 437 nt
Filed under: uncultured Sporobacter sp.
Lineage: Bacteria; Bacillati; Bacillota; Clostridia; Eubacteriales; Oscillospiraceae
Description: bacterial SSU rRNA
Rfam family: Bacterial small subunit ribosomal RNA
Source: RNAcentral